RNAcentral lists this unclassified non-coding RNA (232 nucleotides) under Hevea brasiliensis (rubber tree). Lineage: Eukaryota; Viridiplantae; Streptophyta; Magnoliopsida; Malpighiales; Euphorbiaceae. The record is from RNAcentral.
AUGUUAAUGCUCCUUCAAGCGUGAGUUAGAAUUGAAUGGCUUACAUACUGUUGCUUUCCUAUGUGUCUCAACUAAAUCAGUUGUCCAGGAAAAUUGAAAACAGAAGGGCCUUAUACAAUGAUUCAUGUCUCAACGGUUUCUAACAUAUUGAUGGAAGGUUUCAAAACCAAUUCAAAUCGUGUAGGCAUUCCCAUUAUUGUCAACUUUAUAAUUCAAGGACUGCAAAGAUUCU